RNAcentral lists this ribosomal RNA (253 nucleotides) under uncultured bacterium. RNAcentral describes it as "partial 16S ribosomal RNA". It matches the Rfam family "Bacterial small subunit ribosomal RNA", at positions 524 to 776 of the family's 1533-position model. The record is from RNAcentral.
UACGGGGGGGGCAAGCGUUGUUCGGAAUUACUGGGCGUAAAGGGCUCGUAGGCGGCCAACUAAGUCGGACGUGAAAUCCCCAGGCUCAACCUGGGAACUGCGUCUGAUACUGGAUGGCUUGAGUUUGGGAGAGGGAUGCGGAAUUCCAGGUGUAGCGGUGAAAUGCGUAGAUAUCUGGAGGAACACCGGUGGCGAAGGCGGCAUCCUGGACCAACACUGACACUGAGGAGCGAAAGCCAGGGGAGCAAACGGG